This 98-nucleotide non-coding RNA is filed under the name Microterricola viridarii. RNAcentral's name for it is "Glycine sequence". It matches the Rfam family "Glycine riboswitch aptamer". From Rfam's summary of the family: This family represents the bacterial glycine riboswitch. Glycine riboswitches usually consist of two metabolite-binding aptamers domains with similar structures in tandem. Lineage: Bacteria; Bacillati; Actinomycetota; Actinomycetes; Micrococcales; Microbacteriaceae. The record is from Rfam by way of RNAcentral.
AUGGUCGACGCGGGAGAGCCGGGCGCAGCGAUGCGUAUCGGCACCGAAGGAGCAAUCCUCCCCGACAAUCUCUCAGGUAUAAGUACCGCGUCGAUUUG